The sequence is a regulatory RNA element, 55 nucleotides long. It matches the Rfam family "Na+ riboswitch aptamer (DUF1646)". Rfam says of the family: Proteobacteria, NC10, Acidobacteria, Verrucomicrobia. Lineage (Clostridia) The riboswitch of Na+ was first reported in a comparative analysis of intergenic regions and called DUF1646 RNA, it was also suggested that it acts as cis-reg RNA present upstream of Na+ genes. Afterward it was reported as a riboswitch that selectively senses Na+. The record is from Rfam.
GGUUGGCAAGUCUUAUGACUUGUUCAAGAACUUCGGGCUUCUUGGGUGGGAAGCU